Molecule: ribosomal RNA, 392 nt
Filed under: Notheia anomala
Lineage: Eukaryota; Phaeophyceae; Fucales; Notheiaceae
Description: partial 23S ribosomal RNA
Rfam family: Bacterial large subunit ribosomal RNA
Source: RNAcentral
GACCUAGAUCAAAAAAACUGUUAAUUUUGAGGGCUUAAAUUUAUAACCGAAGCUUCAAACAAGAUUUUUUAUUUUGUGGUAGCAGAACGUUCCGUAGGUCAGUAAAGCUUUGGCGAAUGCUAAAGUGAAGAUAUCGGAAGUGAGAAUACUUGCAUGAGUAGCAUAAAACAAUGAUAAACAUUGUAGCCGUAAGUCUAAGGUUUUCGAUCCAAGGUAAUUUUUGGUCGUAGGAAAUAUAUUUUCUUGAAAAAACGGUCCCUAAGCUAACAAGCUAAGGCUUGAAGUAAUGGGUAAGAUUAAGCUGUGAGAAGUGACUGACGAAAAAUUACCUUUAUUUAUAGAUUAUUUAUAAGUAAAUUGCUUUUUCCAAGAAAAAGGUACUUCAUAAAACA